Molecule: ribosomal RNA, 253 nt
Filed under: uncultured bacterium
Lineage: Bacteria
Description: partial 16S ribosomal RNA
Rfam family: Bacterial small subunit ribosomal RNA
Source: RNAcentral
UACAGAGGUGGCAAGCGUUGUUCGGAAUUACUGGGCGUAAAGCGCACGUAGGCGGAUCUUUAAGUCAGGGGUGAAAUCCCAAGGCUCAACCUUGGAACUGCCUUUGAUACUGGGGAUCUCGAGUCCGGAAGAGGUGAGUGGAACUGCGAGUGUAGAGGUGAAAUUCGUAGAUAUUCGCAAGAACACCAGUGGCGAAGGCGGCUCACUGGUCCGGUACUGACGCUGAGGUGCGAAAGCGUGGGGAGCAAACAGG